Long non-coding RNA from Pan troglodytes (chimpanzee), 4032 nucleotides. RefSeq lists it as uncharacterized. The transcript has 4 exons. Lineage: Eukaryota; Metazoa; Chordata; Mammalia; Primates; Hominidae. The record is from RefSeq and is a predicted model, not a curated record.
UUGCUUGGGCUGCAGGUCCCCGUGUUCUUUAUUUUUCCAUGGAUCAUAAAUCUGCACUGAAUUGGAGGCUGACUGAGACCCACUGAUGUCCAAAUCAACUCUUCUAGAAAGAAAGAGUACUCCACACCACGAAACGUAUCUCCUAAUAUUUCAUUGUCCUCCAGAAAAAUAGGGGGAGACACUAGCAAUUCUCUCAGCAAGGCCCCUUGAAUUUACCUCUAAUUCAGCUCAUGAGCGGCCACUCCUCCAUCAUCUUUGGAUUUUAUUCUUGGACAUAGAGUGUGAACAGCAAUAAGGUUCCUUAUCAGCCUAGAGUGUCCUAUGUCUGGCUCAAUGACUUCCACACUAAACGUUUCCCAGGUCAUGGUGAAAGACCCUCAUGGGAAUCCCUUGUGAGGCUUUUUGGUCCUCUGAAAGGAAUCAUUGAACAUUGCUUGGACUCCAGCACAAGACAGCUUGUUAUCUCAGGAGAGCCUUGAUUUUCUUUUGCUCUGAUGUGGAAUCCAAAGUGUCUCUCAACAGCACUACUGGACACAAUUUUUAGGCAUGACAUCAACACAGAUGGUUUCUGUGACAAUGACUCAACUUCAUCUGCACCAGUGAGAGGCCAGUCUGAUGUGUGAGAACACUGCUCCACCUUGGACUUGUCUUUGUCGUGGUUCCUGCCUUUCCCAGAUAGCCCCUGAGAUGCCCAGGAUGAAGGGAGGCAAUGAGGUGAAGAGCCCAUUAAUAGGUGGCUGACAGGUGCCUCUGGGGUCUCAUUUAGGAUUCUGUCACCUUGGAACCCUCCACAACACACCAGACUAUAUUUCAAUUCCCAUGAGACCUGAUUAUUGCACAUAGCCUCUUUUGGGAAUGGAGUCAGAAAAGAAGUUUGCAACAGCCAACUCGCAGAUUCAAAAUGCACCUUCCUUCAGUGUGCCCUGAUCACGGAGAUGGCCUGAAGUUGCUCUGACAUCUAGACUUUUAGGGUCCUGCAGUGCCUUUUCACAGGUAUCCUUUUUCCUGAAACCAGGUAGGUUCUACCUGUAUCAUUUUCCUCUAGUGAGGCAUGCUGAGAGCUCUGACACUGGGGCUGCCAGGCUGCCUCCUGUGUGCACAUGUAGUAGUCUUAGGGCACCAGGCCACAGUGUGAGCUUUGGCUAGCAUCACAAUGAAUGUCACCAUUUCCUGGGGAAAAGUCCUGGCGGCUUGGCCAAGAAGGAGAUUUCCGUGGAAGUGAGUUAGUAGCAGACUCUCACCUGUCUUCUCUGUGGGAUCCAUGAUAUAGUCCCAUGAUUGAAGAAGAGGGCAAACCUGAGACAGCCUGAAAAUAUAUCAAGCACAGCAAAGCAAUAAACCGCAAAAUCCCUAAGGUUUGAAAGAAUCUGCAGGAUUCCUCAGGCCUGCCUAGACAUUGUAGGCAUGAGUCUUUUUGAAACUUGCCCCACUGUAAUUUCUAGGUACAGCCUACCUCUGUUCCCCAGGGUUGCUCUCUCCCAGGUGGGGCUUCCUGCAGAAACGAAGAGCCUGAGGAGCUUCUGGGCUGUGUGUUUCUGUAGGACUGUUGUGAAUGUUAGAUGUCUUUGUGUGACUGUGUGGCAUUUUGUUUGUGUAAGUUUGUGUUUGUGACUGUAAAUUAAGUCUGGUUAAAGCAAUGUGAAUAACACCCUUCACUGCUUCAUUUUUUGAGUCUCCCAACCUUUUGAUGGCCUUUGUCUGUGUGGCUCUGCUUGGGCUGCUGGGCUUUAUGUAAUUUAAUUUUCUGUGGAUCUUAAAUCUGCAGUUAAUUGGAAGGUAGACAGAGACCCGCCAGCAUCCAAAUCACCUUCCCUGAAAAAAAAGCCACCCUUCCAGAAAGAAGAGAAGCACACCACAGCACAAAAAGACAGACAUCUCCCAGUGUUUUAUUGUCCUAAGGCAAACCUAGGGAGAGACACUAGCAGUUCUGUCUGCAGGACCUCUUGAAUUUGCCUGAAAUUUGGUUCCAAAGUGAGCAGGGGCUUCAUGUUAUGAGGAGACACUCCACUAUUGUCAUGGAAUUUCAUUCUGGGACAUAGAGUUUUUGCAGCAGUUAGGCCAGAUAGCUGUGAGGAUGCAAUUUGGUGAGGAGUGGAUGGGUUUUCAAAACUUCACUUUCAAAUAAAAUGAAGUCAGAUGACACAGAAAGUUUCCCAACUCCAUCCCCGCAUUCCCUUUAUUGCACAAGCAUUUCCCAUCAUGGCUUUUUUUUCAGGGAGGAGUAUUCCAACGUGGAAGAAACACUUGGGGUGCCAACUGGGGCCAUCCUGGAAACUCCUGAUUGGGGAGCUUUCAUACCGCGAGCCAAGUGGGAGUGGAAUGGAUUGAUGCUGGAUGGGAUAUGGCUUCCACACUUGCCUCUUCCUUACUAGACUUCCAUGUUCCUUGUCCUCCUAAGGUUUCCUGGGUCUGGCUCAACGACUUCCACUCUAAACAUUUCCCAGUGCAAAGAGAUUAAAGCUCAUGAGAAUCCUUCGUUUGAGUGUUUCCUUCUAAACCCUGUCAGAUUUUAAAGACUGAGAAGCUUUAAUACUUUUAAAAGUAUGAAUUCCCUUUACAGCAGCCAACAAGGAUAUUAUUGUUUUCCCACUUCUAUCAGAGGACUGCACGAUUUCUGUAGGAUGAGAAGUAGGCAGCCAUGUCUCACUUUUGCCUGGUAAUUUAGCCUCUGCUUCAUUUUAGUUGCACAGCCUUUUCAUUGGGGAUGGGUUCUUUAAUUGUGCUGUUGCAGAAUGGGAUUAUCUCUUGCCACAGAUUAUUUAGCUGGCAGGGAUUACAAAGGGCAAAAGGAACUUUGGAUAACCUGGCCGCGAUAUACACUGUGGGUCAUUGUCUCGUUGUGGGGUCUGGGGUUGUUUGCACUUUGCAGGAAGCUUUUGGAUCCUGACAGCAAUCAUUGGACAUAGCUUGGACUGCAUAAUAAGGGAGCUCAUUCUCUCAGGUGAGACUUUGUUUUUCUUUGCUUUCGUGCCCAGUCCAAAGUGUGAGAACACUGCUCCACCUUGGACUUGCCUUUGUCUUUGCUCCUGCCAUUUUCAGAGAGCCUCUGUGAGGCCCAAAAUGAAGGGAGGUAUUGAGGACAAGAGACCAGUCAUCCUUCACUGACACCUCCCUCUGGACUUUCAGGUAUAAUUCUAUCACCCAAAGAACCCUCAGCAACACACCAGACUAUAUUUCAAUCCCCAUGGGACCAGAUUCUGGCACACUGCCUCUUUUGAGAAUAAAGUCAGAAGAGCGGUUUCCAGCAACCACCUCCCUAUGUCAAAAAGCCUUUUCCUCCAGCAGGAGUCGACCAUGGAAAUGGCCCAAUGGGGCCUUAGAUCGGGAUGUUUAGUGUUUUGAGGUGGAUUUUCACAAGGAGCAUUUUUCCCAAUACCAGGGCGGCUGUACCUGUAUUUUUUUUUUUUUUUUUGCUUAGGCUAGCUGAAAGCUCUGGCAACAUGGUGCUUGAGCCUGCUUCAUGAAUGUCCAUGCACUAGUCUCAGGGCAGCAGGCCUGAUUGUGAGCUUUGGCUAGCAUCACAAUAAAUGUCACCAUUGCCAACUGACAAGUCCUUGAGGCUUGGCAAAGAAGAACUCCGUGGAGGUCCGUCAGCUUUGGAUUCUCACCUGUCUUCUCUGUGGGAUCCCUGGGAGAGUCCCAUGAUCCUAGGAGAAGGCAGACAUGAGCCAGCCUGAAGAAAGAUCAAGUAUAGACCCAGGAAUAAACUGUGAAAUCACAAUGAUCCAAAAUAAUCUACAGAAUUCCUCAGGUCUGCUAGACAUUGUACGGAAUCCACAGUGCCCCUCAACAGAACUACUGACAGCCAUUUCAGGCUUGCAUUGACAAAGAUGGCCUCGAAGACAUUGACUGGACCGCAUCUGAACCCAUGAGACAUCAUUAUGAGGUGUGAGAACAAUGUUUCACCUUGGACUUGCCUUUGUGAUGGUUUCUGCCUUUCCCAGAGAGUCCCUGUGAGGCUCAGGAUGAAGGCAGGCAGUGAGGUCCAAGGGUCCAGUCAUCUUUUGCUGAAACCCACCUCUGGAUUCUCAG